Molecule: ribosomal RNA, 157 nt
Filed under: Glomus arbuscular mycorrhizal symbiont of Voyria rosea
Lineage: Eukaryota; Fungi; Glomeromycota; Glomeromycetes; Glomerales; Glomeraceae
Description: 5.8S ribosomal RNA
Rfam family: 5.8S ribosomal RNA
About the family: 5.8S ribosomal RNA (5.8S rRNA) is a component of the large subunit of the eukaryotic ribosome. It is transcribed by RNA polymerase I as part of the 45S precursor that also contains 18S and 28S rRNA.
Source: RNAcentral
UCACUUUCAACAACGGAUCUCUUGGCUCUCGCAUCGAUGAAGAACGUAGCGAAGUGCGAUAAGUAGUGUGAAUUGCAGAAUUCCGUGAAUCAUCGAAUUUCUGAACGCAAAUUGCACUCCCUGGCAUUCCGGGGAGUAUGCCUGUUUGAGGGUCAGU